UAUAUAUACAAUAUACAUACUUUUGAAAAAUUACUUUUAUAAACGUUGCUAAAAAAAAAAAAAACGCGUGUUAUAUGCUCUUUAUAUAAAAAUCCAUUAUAUGUCAAUAUCAUUAUUACAUCUUUUUACCCUAUCUUCUUUCAUUACCUGUUUUAAUUAGGAAAACGAAAAUAAAAACUUUUCGUUCACCACGAGCCAAAUGAGAUAUUUUGAAAAUGUGGAGGAAUAUAUGAAAGAUGAAGAAAACUAUUUUAAAAUAAAGAAAUUAAUAUUAAAAAGAAAAAAACAGCUCGAUAAAACUAUUGAAUUCGACUUAAAUACAUUGCGUGAAAAAGCAAAUAUGUACGAAAAAUUAAAUUACAAACUAUGGAAAUUUAUAAUGAACAAUAAUAAUAAACAAAUUAAAAAGUGUUCAUUAAAUGAAAAAAUUCAAACAUUCGACACAACUUCUAAUUCGAACCCUAACCUGAACCCUAACCUGAACCCUAACCUGAACCCUAGCCUGAACCCUAAUCUGAACCCUAGCCUGAAUCAAAUUUCGAACUAUAAUAUAGAGCAAGAUUGGUAUAACAGUUAUAUACAAAAAAAAAUUAUUCCCCAAUAUAUUAGAUACAAGUACGUGUAUGACUAUUAUAUGCAAUGCAAAAAAAAAAAAGAAAUUCAUAUAAACAAAAAAAAAUUUUCUGAAUUUUUCAUUAAAAAUAUAAUGAAUUUUAAAACUGAUAGUGUUAACGAUCAAGAUGAUGCAUUACAAAUCGAAAAAAUCAAAAAACAAUUUUCAAAAAUAAUUUAUAAAUUAAAUAAGCCAAAACAUGCUUUGAUUAAAAAUGGUAGUUUAACUAAGUGCACAAUUCAUGAAAAAACUAAAGGUCAUGAUGCCAAUAUAUAUAACAAAGAAGAUUAUAAGCAAGUAAUAAAAGAUGCCAUUGGUAGAACGAGAUAUUAUGUUAAUGAUAAUAAAACAAAGAUGAAACAUCCAGUAGUAAAUGCAAAGGAAAAUGAGGUACAGGGGGGAUGGAGCAAAGCUGGUGGGACAAAACAGAUGAAAAUGGAAGCAAAUCGGGAAAAAAAAAAUGUAGAAAAAGGUGAAGUAAAACAAGAAAUAAAAACAGAAAAAAAAAAACAGAAAGCAAAGAAUUCACAAUUUAAUGAAACGAAGGAAGAAAACAAAAAUACAAAAUUUGAAGAAAUAGAAGUUAAACAGAUAGAACUAGUAAAACAAAAUAGUGACAAAGUGAAUGCGAACAAAAGCGAUAAAAUAACUAAAAAUAUAAAUGAGUAUGAAAAAGCUGUUAUAAAGAAAAAUAAAGAACAAAUGUAUAAAAGAAAUAUGAAGAAUUUAGUUGAAACAAAUAAAUUAUAUCAUAAAAAAUCAAACAGCUAUAACAAUUUUUAUCUGUUUUCAGAUAAUUUCAAUAACUUUAAAAAUGUUUCCCCUACCAGACAUAAUUCUUCAUUAGAAAUAUUAAAACAGGAUAUAAAAAAAUUUAUUAAUAAUGAUACAAACGAAAAUGAAAAUAAAAAUAUGCAAAGUAAAGAAAGUGAUAUAUCAAAUAUACACAAUGACAAUUUCAAAACUAUUAUUGAUACAAAUGUAAAUAGUAACAGCAUAAAUUUUUUAAAAAAU
RNAcentral lists this long non-coding RNA (1627 nucleotides) under Piliocolobus tephrosceles (Ugandan red Colobus). Its description in RNAcentral is "lncRNA (ENSPTEG00000003765.1)". Lineage: Eukaryota; Metazoa; Chordata; Mammalia; Primates; Cercopithecidae. The record is from RNAcentral.